This 253-nucleotide ribosomal RNA is filed under the name uncultured bacterium. RNAcentral describes it as "partial 16S ribosomal RNA". It matches the Rfam family "Bacterial small subunit ribosomal RNA", at positions 524 to 776 of the family's 1533-position model. The record is from RNAcentral.
UACGGGGGGGGCAAGCGUUGUUCGGAAUUACUGGGCGUAAAGGGGACGUAGGCGGCCAACUAAGUCCGACGUGAAAUCCCAAGGCUUAACCUUGGAACUGCGUCGGAUACUGGAUGGCUUGAAUUCGGGAGAGGGAUGCAGAAUUCCAGGUGUAGCGGUGAAAUGCGUAGAUAUCAGGAGGAACACCGAUGGCGAAGGCAGUUCUCUGGGCCGUAACUGACGCUGAGGAGCGAAAGCGUGGGGAGCGAACAGG